AAGAAAACUGUCAGCUUUGCUGAGAAUGGAAAUGUGUAUAGGGUUUUCAGCGACAACCAUGAGUCAGCUUUAAGUAGAGAUGGUAGCUUCGCUGAGAGGAGUGAUUCCAGUGAUGGUCAUGGAGAGACUAUGGAUUACAAUGAAAUUGAAGAGAGAAAGGGGAUCUCUAAAAUUACAGAGAAUGGUGUUGUUGAGGAUGAGAAUGCGACAUCUACACAGAGCAGUGAUGGGGAGAGGAAUCCUACAAGGAAUGUAAGAGGGGGCGGUGAGUUUGAAAUUCAUGGGUUCUGCCAGUAUCAAGAUGGUGGCUUAGUUUUCUCUGCCCCAGCGCCC
This 333-nucleotide unclassified non-coding RNA is filed under the name Hevea brasiliensis (rubber tree). Lineage: Eukaryota; Viridiplantae; Streptophyta; Magnoliopsida; Malpighiales; Euphorbiaceae. The record is from RNAcentral.